This 2232-nucleotide unclassified non-coding RNA is filed under the name Eurytemora carolleeae. RNAcentral describes it as "venom dipeptidyl peptidase 4". Lineage: Eukaryota; Metazoa; Arthropoda; Copepoda; Calanoida; Temoridae. The record is from RNAcentral.
UAAUGCCUGCAUGCAUAAUCUGUAAAACAAAGAAGAGAAGAAUGAAUUGUGGUUUUCUUGCAGUGACAUCUGUACUCAGUGUCCUGUUUAAUGUUUCCGUGGUUGCUGCAAAGCGGAACAUGAAUAUCACAAAGUUCAAUCUGGAUUUAUCUGACUAUGUGUCAGGCAAAUUGAUACCAGAGUUAGUCACUGGGAAAUGGAUAUCCAACUCAGAGAUGAUUACUGAAGACUUUAACAUUUGGAAUCUUAUUACAGGGGAUUUGGUGUCAGUACUUACAGAUAAUCUAACUAGACUUCUAAAACCUCAAAUGUUGGAGUUAUCUAACGACAGAAAAUUCGCACUUGUUCUGGUAAAGGGACAUGCUGUUUGGAGAAAUUCGGUCAUAGGAAAGUACGUACUGGUAGAUCUGACAACUAAUCUUGUUCAAUCUUUCCCUGAACUUGAAACAUCUGUUCGUCUAAUAUCCUGGGCUCCCACUGGAAAUUCGCUUGUCUACGUCAACAAAGAAAACAACAUAUUUUACAGAGACUCUGCAUAUAGUAAUAAGAGUGUUCAGCUGACAACAGAGGGAGUAGAAGAUGUUGUAUACUGUGGAAUCCCGGAUUGGGUUUAUGAAGAGGAAGUCCUUUCGUCAUCUCAAGCUAUCUGGUGGUCUCCCUCUUCAAAGAAACUUGCUUAUGCUGUCUUUGAUGAUUCCCAGGUGUCUGAAUACUCUUGGAACCAUUAUGGAAAGUGGAAAAAUGUUCAAAAUUUAAAAAAUCAGUAUCCUAGAGUCAAAACUAUUCAUUAUCCAAAAGCCGGCUCCAGAAAUCCAACCGUUUCUCUCUGGAUAGCAGUAUUUUCGCAGAAUGGAUCUGUCUUUAAAUUUCGCGUGGAAAACCCAAGCAUUUCAGCCGAACCUAUUCUGACAAGGGUUUUGUGGAUUUCUAAUUCUUCUCUAAUAUCAAACUGGAUGAACCGAGUACAAAAUAGAAGCAUCACGUUACUAUGUCAAGUUGCUACAGAACUUAAAUGCACAAAAGUUUUUAAAACAGAAGAAAAAAACGGUUGGGUGGAAAUGGAAAUGAAUUUUACCCCUAAUCCAGUUAACAAUGGAACCUUUUUGUAUCUCGCACCUGAAAGAAAAAAGGACCGAUUCCAUCAGAUAUUCAUUUAUGAGAAUGGAAAAGCUAGAAAGAUUACACACCACCAAGGAGAAAUUAACGAAAUCCUUAAAUUUAAGAAAAAUGGAGAUAUAUUUUACACAGGAGUUUAUUUGCAUGAUAGAAAGAGCAAGCAUUUGUUUAGAACUCAAAAAGAUGGUUCUGUGGAAAUUUGCGUUACAUGUCGUUUUAAGCACGAAUGUGAAUAUUUUGAGCCUUCAAUUAGUACAGAAGGUCAGUAUGCAAUACUAAACUGCCUCGGACCACAUAUUCCAUAUAGUAAACUUCUGGAUAUCAACACAAUGGAGAUAAAAGCAACACUAAAGAACAACACCAAACUUCAGAAAUUACAUUCUCCUCCCUUAUCCCACAGAAUUCACCUUCAUUAUGGAAAAACAAAUGUGGAGCUAAUGUUACCUUCCGGAGUAACAUUAAAAUCGGAUGUUGAACUACCAACGAUUCUUUAUGUUUAUGGAGGACCAGGAUCACAAGAAGUUUUAUAUCAUUGGUAUGAUGAUACUGUUCUUUUGUCAUACCUGGUUGAAACUAAGGGUUUUAUUGGAAUUAAAAUUGAUGCCAGAGGAUCAGGAAAUGCUGGUGCCACUUUCAUGAUGUCAAACUAUAGAAAUCUGGGAACCAAAGAAGUGGAUGAAAUCAUUAGUAUUGUAAAACGGUUACAGACCCAGUAUAAGAUUAUAGAUUCUAAAAGAACUGGAGUUUAUGGAUGGAGUUUUGGAGGAUAUUUUAGCCUGUCGGUUCUUGCUAGGGACUCCAAUGGUGUAUUUUCCUGUGGUGUUAGUGUUGCUCCUGUGUCGAUGUGGGAACUUUAUGAUUCAAUCUACACAGAAAGGAUAACUAUGAGGGGUACAAUAAAAGCACUCCGCUUUGGAAACUUGAAAACCUCAGAAACAAGUCAUAUUUGGUUCUCCACGGCACUGAGGAUGAUAAUGUGCAUUUUCAGCAAUCAAUGUUUAUUGUUCAAGAACUAGAAAAACAGAAUAUUCUGUUCGACCAGGUAUCAUAUCCUGAUCAGGAUCAUGGAAUUGGAGUUUAUCUAGAGCAUGUGAUGCAUACAGUGUCUGAGUUCUU